This 493-nucleotide ribosomal RNA is filed under the name uncultured bacterium. Its description in RNAcentral is "bacterial SSU rRNA". It matches the Rfam family "Bacterial small subunit ribosomal RNA", at positions 32 to 507 of the family's 1533-position model. The record is from RNAcentral.
AACGCUGGCGGCGUGCCUAACACAUGCAAGUCGUACGAGAAAGCCGGCUUCGGCUGGUGAGUAAAGUGGCGCACGGGUGAGUAACGCGUGGAUAAUCUGCCCUUAAGUGUGGAAUAACGUACCGAAAGGUGCGCUAAUACCGCAUAAUGCCUGGCAACACAAGUUGUCCGGCCAAAGAAGGCCUCUGUUUACAAGCUUUCGCUUCAGGAUGAGUCCGCGUACCAUUAGCUUGUUGGUGGGGUAAUGGCCUACCAAGGCUGCGAUGGUUAGCUGGUCUGAGAGGAUGAUCAGCCACACUGGAACUGAGACACGGUCCAGACUCCUACGGGAGGCAGCAGUGGGGAAUAUUGGACAAUGGGCGAAAGCCUGAUCCAGCAACGCCGCGUGAGGGAUGACGGCCUUACGGGUUGUAAACUUCUUUUCUGUCAGAAGAAUAAGCUUGUCGAGACGAGUGAUGCCGGUAUGACAGGAAUAAGCAUCGGCUAACUCCGUG